Molecule: ribosomal RNA, 701 nt
Filed under: Rhizoctonia solani
Lineage: Eukaryota; Fungi; Basidiomycota; Agaricomycetes; Cantharellales; Ceratobasidiaceae
Description: eukaryotic LSU rRNA
Rfam family: 5.8S ribosomal RNA (bases 255-408)
Source: RNAcentral
UCGUAGUGACCUGCGGAGGAUCAUUAUUGAAUUAAUGUAGAGUUUGGUUGUAGCUGGCUCCUAAUUAAACUUGGGGGCAUGUGCACACCUUUCUCUUUCAUCCCAUACACACCUGUGCACCUGUGAGACAGAUGUUUUGUGGGGGGGAAGGAACUUUAUUGGACCUUCUACUCCCCCUUGACUUCUGUCUACUUAAUUCAUAUAAACUCAAUUUAUUUUAAAACGGAUGUAAUGGAUGUAACACAUCUAAUACUAAGUUUCAACAACGGAUCUCUUGGCUCUCGCAUCGAUGAAGAACGCAGCGAAAUGCGAUAAGUAAUGUGAAUUGCAGAAUUCAGUGAAUCAUCGAAUCUUUGAACGCACCUUGCGCUCCUUGGUAUUCCUUGGAGCAUGCCUGUUUGAGUAUCAUGAAAUCUUCAAAGUCAAACCUUUUGUUAAUUCAAUUGGUUCUGCUUUGGUAUUGGAGGAUUAUUGCAGCUUCACACCUGCUCCUCUUUGUGCAUUAGCUGGAUCUCAGUGUUAUGCUUGGUUCCACUCAGCGUGAUAAGUUAUCUAUCGCUGAGGACACCCUGUUAAAAAGGGGUGGCCAAGGUAAAUGCAGAUGAACCGCUUCUAAUAGUCCAUUGACUUGGACAAUAUCUAAUUUAUGAUCUGAUCUCAAAUCAGGUAGGACUACCCGCUGAACUUAAGCAUAUCAAAAG